Amphimedon queenslandica is the source of this 154-nucleotide long non-coding RNA. RefSeq lists it as uncharacterized. Lineage: Eukaryota; Metazoa; Porifera; Demospongiae; Haplosclerida; Niphatidae. The record is from RefSeq and is a predicted model, not a curated record. The transcript is spliced from 3 exons.
AUUGUCAAUUGUACAGUUUGUCCUGUAUCAGCUACUCUCAGUAGUGAUCAUUGGUACUGGUUUGAAUCAGGACCUGCUGAGAGUAACAAUGGAACACAAAUUAGUGAUCAGUUAUCAGAUGAAAACCCUCUAUUAUACAAGAAGCCAGAAAAAG